CUACGGGAGGCAGCAGUAGGGAAUUUUCCACAAUGGGCGAAAGCCUGAUGGAGCAACGCCGCGUGCAGGAUGAAUGCCUUCGGGUUGUAAACUGCUUUUAUUAGUGAAGAAUAUGACGGUAACUAAUGAAUAAGGGUCGGCUAACUACGUGCCAGCAGCCGCGGUCAUACGUAGGACCCAAGCGUUAUCCGGAAUUACUGGGCGUAAAGAGUUGCGUAGGUGGCAUAGUAAGUGGAGCGUGAAAGCGUGCGGCUCAACCGCAUAUCCGCGUUCCAAACUACUAAGCUUGAGUAUAAGAGAGGUAGAUGGAAUUUCUAGUGUAGGAGUGAAAUCCGUAGAUAUUAGAAGGAACACCGAUGGCGUAGGCAGUCUACUGGCUUAUUACUGACACUAAGGCACGAAAGCGUGGGGAGCGAACAGGAUUAGAAACCCUAGUAGUCC
This 441-nucleotide ribosomal RNA is filed under the name uncultured bacterium. RNAcentral describes it as "bacterial SSU rRNA". It matches the Rfam family "Bacterial small subunit ribosomal RNA", at positions 339 to 796 of the family's 1533-position model. The record is from RNAcentral.